RNAcentral lists this ribosomal RNA (564 nucleotides) under uncultured bacterium. RNAcentral's name for it is "bacterial SSU rRNA". It matches the Rfam family "Bacterial small subunit ribosomal RNA", at positions 917 to 1476 of the family's 1533-position model. The record is from RNAcentral.
GGGCCCGCACAAGCGGCGGAGCAUGCGGAUUAAUUCGAUGCAACGCGAAGAACCUUACCAAGGCUUGACAUGUGCCAGACCGCCGUGGAAACACGGUUUCCCCUUUGGGGCUGGUUCACAGGUGGUGCAUGGUUGUCGUCAGCUCGUGUCGUGAGAUGUUGGGUUAAGUCCCGCAACGAGCGCAACCCUCGUUCCAUGUUGCCAGCGCGUAAUGGCGGGGACUCAUGGGAGACUGCCGGGGUCAACUCGGAGGAAGGUGGGGACGACGUCAAAUCAUCAUGCCCCUUAUGUCUUGGGCUUCACGCAUGCUACAAUGGCCGGUACAAAGGGUUGCGAUACUGUGAGGUGGAGCUAAUCCCAAAAAGCCGGUCUCAGUUCGGAUUGGGGUCUGCAACUCGACCCCAUGAAGUCGGAGUCGCUAGUAAUCGCAGAUCAGCAACGCUGCGGUGAAUACGUUCCCGGGCCUUGUACACACCGCCCGUCAAGUCACGAAAGUUGGUAACACCCGAAGCCGGUGGCCUAACCCCUUGUGGGAGGGGGCCGUCGAAGGUGGGACCGGCGAUU